GGCCCCGGAGCAUGCUGGGAGUGUUGAGUCAUGGGGGCUGUCAGCUCCCGGCUGAGGGAGACGGUGUGAGGAGGAAGACAAGGGUACAAUCGCUGACCUCCUCCCCUAUCACAGCCCCCGCCCGCCUCAGACAUGGUCCCGGAGAACCUGAUACCAAGGAGGAGCAGACACAGGCUGGGAUCUCAUCAUCCUGGGAGAGGGCAUUCUGCAUAAGAGAUUGACAAUUUGAAGAUUUGGGAUCAGAUAUUUUGUGUAUUACAUGACUUUUCAGGAAAUUGCAGGUUUUUUUUUGCUUGUCUCUGUAAUGGAAGAAGAACAAUGACAUCUCAAGCAGCACUCUAGAUGCUGAGACGAGUAAUCUUCAUUUAGUAGUAUUUCUAGUCCUUUUUCCCCCCUGUCUAAUACCACAAUACAGCACAGCUAUGUAUGGAAGUGCUCGUACAAUCACUAAUUUGGAAGGCAGUCCUUCCAGAUCACCUCGUUUGCCAAGAUCACCUCGCUUGGGCCAUAGACGAACAAGUAGUGGAGGAGGAGGAGGAGGAGCAGGUAAAACACUGUCAAUGGAGAAUAUCCAGUCACUUAAUGCAGCCUAUGCAACGUCUGGACCCAUGUACUUGAGUGACCAUGAGGGAGUAGCAUCUACUGCGUUUCCAAAAGGAACCAUGACUCUAGGAAGGGCUACAAAUAGAGCAGUAUAUGGUGGUAGAGUCACAGCCAUGGGAAGCAGUCCAAAUAUUGCUUCAGCUGGCCUUUCUCACACUGAUGUCCUGUCCUACAGUGACCACGUAGCCUUGAGCAACGCCUCUCACCAUCAUCACCACCAUCACCAUCAAGUUCCAUCUAUGUUGAGACAGGUGAGAGACAGCACAAUGCUUGAUCUUCAGGUUCAGCUGAAGGAUCUGCAGCGGGAAAAUGAACUUCUAAGAAAAGAGCUGGAUAUAAAAGACAGCAAGCUGGGGUCGUCCAUGAACAGUAUUAAGACAUUCUGGAGCCCAGAACUCAAGAAAGAAAGAGUUCUCCGAAAGGAGGAGGCUGCCAGGAUGUCUGUGUUGAAGGAGCAAAUGAGAGUGACCCAUGAAGAAAAUCAGCUAUUGGAUUCCAGGAAAACAAAGCAUUUACAGUUGACCAUCCAGGCCCUUCAGGAUGAGCUGCGCACUCAGAGGGACCUCAACCAUCUUCUUCAACAGGAAAGUGGUAAUCGAGGUGCAGAACAUUUUACCAUUGAACUCACUGAGGAAAACUUCAGAAGGCUUCAGGCAGAGCAUGACCGGCAAGCCAAAGAACUGUUCCUCCUCAGAAAGACUCUAGAAGAGAUGGAGUUGAGAAUAGAAACACAAAAACAGACACUAAGUGCCAGAGAUGAGUCCAUCAAAAAACUUCUUGAGAUGUUACAAAGUAAAGGUUUGCCCUCAAAGGGAAUGGAGGAAGAGAAUGAAAAGACACGAAGAAUGGUAGAGGCGGAAUCACAACUUAAUCAUUUAGAAGUGCUUCUUGACCAAAAGGACAAAGAAAAUAUUCAUCUAAGAGAGGAGCUGCACAGACGGAAUCAGCUCCAGUCCGAGUCGGCCAAGACCAAAGCUCUGCAGACUGUCAUCGAGAUGAAGGAUACCAAAAUCGCUUCCCUUGAAAGAAACCUUCGAGACCUUGAAGACGAAAUCCAAAUCAUAAAAACAAAUGGCGUCCUGAACACAGAAGACAGGGAAGAGGAAAUCAAACAAAUGGAAGUUUAUAAAAGUCAUUCAAAGUUUAUGAAAAGCAAGAUUGACCAGUUGAAGCUGGAGCUGUCAAAGAAGGAAUCUGAACUUCUUGCCUUACAAACCAAGUUGGAAACUCUUGGCAAUCAGAACUCAGACUGCAAGCAACACAUUGAAGUACUUAAGGAAUCUCUUACUGCCAAAGAACAGAGGGCUGCCAUCCUUCAGACAGAGGUGGAUGCAUUGCGGCUGAGACUAGAAGAGAAGGAAUCAUUUCUUAACAAAAAAACCAAGCAGCUUCAGGAUCUGACAGAAGAGAAGGGCACGUUGGCCGGGGAGAUUAGAGAUAUGAAAGAUAUGCUGGAAGUCAAAGAGAGAAAAAUUAAUGUCCUGCAGAAGAAGAUUGAAAAUCUUCAAGAACAGCUUAGAGACAAGGACAAGCAGCUUGGAAACCUGAAAGAUCGAGUCAAGUCCCUGCAGACGGAUUCCAGUAAUACGGACACUGCCCUCGCCACCCUGGAGGAGGCUCUCUCUGAAAAAGAGAGAAUUAUUGAGCGUUUGAAAGAACAGAGGGAAAGAGACGACCGGGAGAGACUAGAAGAGAUUGAAAACUACAAGAAGGAAAACAAGGACCUUAAAGAGAAGGUGAACAGUUUGCAGGCAGAGUUGACGGAAAAAGAGACCAGUUUAAUUGACUUGAAAGAACAUGCCUCUACUCUGGCUUCGUCUGGUGUAAAGCGGGACUCCAAGUUGAAGUCCUUGGAAAUGGCCAUUGAACAGAAAAAAGAGGAGUGUAGUAAGUUGGAAGCGCAGUUGAAAAAGCAAGCUGAGCAGUUGUUCAAUCAGAUGUACAAUCCUGCGCACGAAGCUGAAGAGGAGGCUCGGAUGAAUCCAGAGCUCACUGACCGACUUAAGCAACUAGACAAAGAAGUUUCCUACUACAGAGAGGAGUGCAGCAAAACACAGGCCGAGGUGGACAGGCUUCUGCAGAUUCUGAAAGAGGUGGAAAAUGAGAAAAACGAGAAAGACAAGCAAAUCGCAGAGCUGGAAAGGAUCAUGAAAGAUCAAAACAAGAAAGUCGCCAAUUUGAAGCACAAUCAACAUAUAGAGAAGAAAAAGAACACCCAACUUACGGAUGACACACGCCGCAGGGACGAUAAUAUGCCAGAUAACUCCCAGCAUCUACAGAUGGAUGAUCUUAUGAACGCUCUUGAAAAGACAAGACAGGAGCUAGAUUCCACCAAAGCCCGUCUCUCUUCAACUCAACAAUCACUUGCUGACAAGGAAGCACACCUGAACAACUUGAUGAUAGACCGCCGAAAACAGCUCGAGGAGAUCCUGGAGAUGAAGCAGCAAGCUCUAUUGGCUGCAAUCAGUGAGAAGGACGCUAACAUCGCUUUGCUGGAGCUAUCUGCCUCAAAGAAGAAGAAAACCCAGGAUGAAGUGAUUGCGCUGAAGAGAGAGAAGGACCGGCUAGUUCACCAGCUGAAACAGCAGGUCUAUAGAGAUAGGCGAGAACAACAAAGCGUGAACAUACCCAACAUAUGUGAUGCUGACUUCAUCACAGACAUAGCUGCCAAGUACCUUGUUUACAGCCACGAUGCAAACACAGUUGAAAAGCCUCAGACACAAAACCGGAUGAAGCUAAUUGCGGACAACUAUGAAGACGAUCACCAUCACCAUCACCACCACCACCACCAUCACCAUCAUCGUUCUCCUGGGAGAAUGCUCUCUAGCCAUAGACCCUCUCCAGAUCAGGAUGACGAGGAGGGGAUAUGGGCAUAACAGCUCCAACAAACCAAAGUUCCAGUUUUAUUUUGUUGGAUAAUCCCGUCUCUGCCGGAGUCACAUCGUCACGACAAGAUCUCAUGCUGUACAUUGAUCAUCUAUCCAACCUUUGCCUAGAGUGAGACCCCCCCAGAACUUUGAUCUAUACUGAGCCAGUUAGGGAAAGAGGAACAGGAGGAGGAGAAGGAAGACAUCUGAUGAAAACAAGGAACAAUGUUUAACACCAGAGCAGUUAAGGAACAGCAAGAUUCAGCAGUGAAGUGCAACAGCCCCAGAAAUGAUCCAGUGCGGAUUCUCUCCUCGCAACACUUCAGAAUUCGGCAUCUGAAACUGAUGUGGGCAGCUGUUGUAUUGUGUCCACAAGUACAGAAAUCCGCAGUAUGAAGCAAUGUGUAUUGUAUGAUUAAUACGUGGUCACGACAGAACCCACAGGAAGUUUUCAUACAACCAGAGUGUAGUUGAUAUUGGUGAUCAACGCUGUACAAUACCAGUCCUGUCUGCAAUCUAAACUGCCGUCUUAAAGCAUUUGAUUAUCAGAAAGGUGUAUUAGAACAAAAACAAAAUGCAUUCCAAAGAUUUACAUCCUCUCCUCUGUCCUCUGGUGUUGUAGCGAUGGGCUUCAGGUUCCUGAAAAGUAACAAAACGGAUUUUAUAAGCAUUCAGUGGCCUGAGUUUGUUGCAUCUGCUCCGCCCAGCCUUAAAACGGAUGGCCUAUCCCAAUAUUACAAUACAAAGUUCCCAAUUUGCUCUGGGCCAGGUUGGACAACCUAAUCAAUAUAUAUGUAAUAAUAACCCCUUACUGCCAGAGAUCUCUGCACAUUCUGUAAUUCAAAUUUUCAUUGCAGCCUCCCCCCAAGGCAGUGAAGGGGUUAAAAAGAACGUGAUUACAAAGUGUCAUGUUUCUCUGACAAAGCAUGGGAUAUCUGAACUAAAGUAAAGGUAACAAAACAUAACAAUUUGUUUGGGUAGUCACAAGUUGAAAGUGUGAAUACUGGAAAACACAAUGACUUUUCUCUGCCCAAAAUAAUGUGGUAUGGUUCUGAGUCACGUUGUGACGAGCAGCAGCAUCACUGGUCAGAACGUUGUCACAGUGACGUUUUUGAGAAAUAAUAUGCAUUGCACCCGGUUCUUCGGUUAGAAAAAAAAGAAAAAGUAAAAAAUAAUAUUUUUUUUUGAUUUUUUUUUUUGCAUGUCAAAAGUUCAUUUGUAUAGUGGGACCCAAGAAACCUUUACAUGCAAAACAUAAUUUUUUAUUGUGUAUGCGUCAGACGUGUGUGUGUGUGUGUGUGUGUGUGUGUGUGUAUACGUGUGUUUUUUUUAAAAUACAUGUCAAUACAGAAAAAAUAGGCCACACCUUUCCCCCCAAUUCCCUUCCACCCAAAAAAACUGUGCCAGAUGUGCCCGGGUCACUCCCAUUUUGUAGCAAAGCUAGAUCCCUCUCCUGGCAGACCCAAUCCCUUUAGGCCACCGGAAAUGGGGACUAUCCUGCUAUAGGCACAUGUAUGUAUUCACUACAUGCAAACAAAUUAUUUCUAAUGAAAAUACUUAAAAUGAGAAUUUGUUGAUAUAUUGCGUUAACUGAUAUACAAAGGUAAAAGUGUGUGUUCAUUGUCCUUUCUUUAUCACUGGUGGCCAUACAUCCGUGGCAGACGCAGAAUGUACAUACUGUUCUGUGCAGUGUUCAUUAUAAUUUAUUAUGGGCUCACUGACAAACUGCAGAUUUUUGUCCCAACUUUUUAGCCCCCGGAGAUAGGAAUUUCAGGGAUGCUGAGAGGGAGGAAGAAGGGUACAAAGUACAUGGGCACACAGCCUACCAAGGAGUUAUGCCCCUCAACAUUGUGAUGACCAUGCCCCUUCACUGGGUGAUGCAGCUUUGCCCUCUGUACCUAGGUCCUGAGGGUUAUCAAAACACAAAAAAGUGGUCUAGGCACUAGACAAACACAAAUAAAUAUUGUAUGACUGUAUACAACCUAUAUGCAGCCACCCUGUGAUAUGGGAUGAAAAAUACUUGGAACUGAUUGUUACUGUAUGUGAAGGAUAUUCUUCUAGCUUUAGUACACUGCAAUUUCCCCAUUUUGUGUAAUAGCUUCUAGGUAUUGCCUAUUUCACCCAGGGUGGCCCAAAAUGACUGCCUUGCUUGGUACCUUCUGUGGGUGCAUUAUGUAACCUAUGGAACUUAGUAAUCAAAAUGGCUGCAAUAACCCAUCAUUAUGCUGACUCUGUGCGUGUUAUGUUCACUGUUUUGGGAUUUGUUUUCUUUGUACAUUAAUACUAAAUCUCUUUGCCAUGUUUUAAUACGCUUGUAAAGCAACUUUUUGUUCUGCUUGAGAAAAGUGCUAUAUAAAUGAAAUUAUUAUUAUUUUAAUAUUAUAAUAGUAAUAUCAGCUAUAGAGAUAAACCAUAUACAAAAAUAUAGAGUGUGGAACUAUAUUUUUAUAUAAAAGAUUUGCAGAGAGCUUUGUGUGUUAUUAAAGUCUCUGACAAAUGAUAUAUGAAAUAUGGACAGAAAUUUAUGGUAACACUACAUGUUAAAGUUUUCCCGGUAUUUGCUUACCAGUCUAUAGUUAGCAGGGCUACAAACUGGACCCCAUCUCUGAAAACAAACAUUUGGAUAUGUUGCCUGUAGGCUACAUUGUUUUUCACAGGAUCCAGUCUCUAGGUCGUCAAUGUCUAGGUCGACCACUAUUGGUCGACAUGGUUUCUAGGUCGACAGGGACUCUAGGUCGACAUGUACUAGGUCGACAUGACAAAAGGUCGACAUGAGUUUUUCUCAUUUUCCCCCCCAUUUUUUAAACUUUUUCAUACUUUACGAUCCACGUGGACUACAAUUCGGAACGGUAACAUGUGCCGAGCGCAGCGAGGCACCUUGCCCGAAGCAUGGCGAGCGAAGCGACACGUGCACUAAUUGGGGUUCCCCAUCACUCUACAAAGAAAACGACACCAAUUUUUUUUUUUAAACUCAUGUUGACCUUUUUUUUUAUGUCGACCUAGAAUCCCUGUCGACCUAGAAACAAUGUCAGCCUACUUUCUGUCAACCAAUAGUGGUUGACCUAGACACAGCCUAGACUUAGUUCGACAAUCUAACAUACCACACCUGUUUUUCACCAUCUAAAUAUGGCAUUAGCUACUGAGGCCAAGCUCCAAAAAAUAAGGAUAGACAUUGAUUUUCGAUGGUUCAACACCAUAAAUGUUUUUCUUACGACGAUAGUGGUUUUACCAUAUGAUGGAGGCUUUCCAAAUGUAGCCACCAUCCAUUGGUGUGAAAGUGAUGGCCAUCCCAUAUUAAAAUAGAGCAUAAUUUGUUUUUUCAUAUAGAAUUCUUUUGAUGCGAUGGUUAGUUACCAUCACAUAUAAGGUUUCGAUGGUGGAAGCCCAGCCAUCAUUUGAUGGUGGGCUUAUGAUGUCCAUCCCUACCAAAAAUCUUUUGCUUGAUAAACUGAGCACUUUCCCUGUCCCUGUAGAAACAUAUAGGGAUUGCUUUUGCAAGCAUACAGAUGGGGUCCACGGCAGAUGCUUCCUGAUAUAGCCCUGAUGCUCAUAAAUGCAUUAAUCCUAAAAAUACAAACGUUUUCAGGGGACUGACCACAUUUUUGGGCUUAAUAUAUAGGCCCACAGGGAGGAAAGGUUCAGUGAUAACAGCUGCAACUCUGCAAUGGAGAGACAGUGUUCUGUUACUAAUACAAUGUACAGUUAGGCCAUUGUGCACAGUUCUAUCCACAGACACUACUCAACUUUACCCCUAUAGUGCUGCAUUUAAGCAAAAAUGCAAAUUACUCUGUUUUUAUAUUAUGUCUGUUGUAGUUAAAUGUGCACAGAUUUAUAUUGUAUACAAACACAUACAAGCACACAUCUUGGUUACCUUUCUGAUACAAAUUGACACGGAUUACUAUAAACACUUUAAGCUUACAAAAAGCAUAAGAUUUCAUAGGAAUGGGAUAGGUCGUACUGGGAGCCUUCGGAGGACAUUGCACAUCAUUCAAGGGGCUGUUUAGUAGGAAAGUGGGACAGGGAUUCAGGGUAUAAAAUAAGUAUAAUUAGGUUUUAUGAGGCAUUUGAAGUUUUGUUUCCUGACAUCACCAAAACACUUCUCCAAACUUUUCCAAAAACCUUUGCACUUCUCAUAAAGAGUCCGACGUCCUUUCCUGCUUAACAGCUGUGAGGUGUUUGUCCCACGGAUGCCAUAAGCUUUGCUGUUCCACAUCAGAAUAUCAAACAAACACUGAAGAUCUUAGUACUGUAGGACAGAAUGAAAUAAUUUUAAUUAUCAGUAAACGUUUUUGCAUGGAAUCUAGAAUCAGAAAUAAAAUAAUGGCUUUGGUUUUUCAGUUAAACCUAAAACUUCCAAUCAUAGGCUCGUAUGCAUGGUGUUGUGUAACAGCGGAAUCUUUUUGUGUAAGGACAGAAAUUUAUAAAAUAUAUAUUACAGGAAGUUGAGGCCUUAUUCAUACUUGCAGUGUUUGUACUGUUGUGGAUACAUAAGUUCACUAUGAUUAAAUUGUCACAGCAUCUGGCGCCCCUACUUGGCGGUGACACUGCAUAAAGCUAGAAGUUUUCCCAGCUGUCUACUUCUGAGACUAUCCCUGGAGAUCAGAGGAGCAGGGAGUGGCACAAAGUGGAAGGACAAAAUUCCAUGUCCUCUUUCAGUUGGGCCUACAUUUAGAGAUCUGGACUGUCUAGGUAAGGCUGAUCCGGGUGAAUAGUGCUGGAAAAUACUAUUAGGAGAGGAGGGUAUCUGAGUUCUCGUGCCCCACAAGCCUUACUUGCCUUCUUUUAAAAAUGCAUAACAGGGUGAUUGCAAAAGCAACACCAUUGCGCGUAGUGCUGAAGAUGGUGUGUACUGCUCCGUCUGACAGGCGUGCCAUAAAUUGAUUUAUGUCCAACUGCAAAUGAGCCCCAAAGCAGUUAUGUACACUAUAUAUAUAUGUUUAUGAGUGUGCGUGUACUUACUGUAUAUAUAUCCCUCAAUGUGCGUGCCCUAAUGGCUCACACCGCAAGGGAGACAGGAUGGCCUUAAGAGAGAAAGACCAGCUGCAGGGGUUAGUAUGGUAUCUGGA
Molecule: RNA transcript, 8536 nt
Organism: Pseudophryne corroboree (corroboree frog)
Lineage: Eukaryota; Metazoa; Chordata; Amphibia; Anura; Myobatrachidae
Gene: ERC2
Gene name: ELKS/RAB6-interacting/CAST family member 2
Exons: 22
Source: RefSeq, a predicted model, not a curated record